Molecule: ribosomal RNA, 253 nt
Filed under: uncultured bacterium
Lineage: Bacteria
Description: partial 16S ribosomal RNA
Rfam family: Bacterial small subunit ribosomal RNA
Source: RNAcentral
UACGUAGGUGGCAAGCGUUGUCCGGAUUUACUGGGCGUAAAGGGCGUGCAGGCGGUUUGUUAAGUCUAGGGUGAAAGCUCCCGGCUCAACUGGGAGAGGUCCUUGGAUACUGGCAGACUUGAGGAGGGUAGAGGAGAGUGGAAUUCCCGGUGUAGUGGUGAUAUGCGUAGAUAUCGGGAGGAACACCGAUGGCGAAGGCAGGUCUCUGGGCCAUAACUGACGCUGAGAAGCGAAAGCAUGGGGAGCGAACAGG